GACGAACGCUGGCGGCGUGCUUAACACAUGCAAGUCGAACGGAAAGGCUCCAGCUUGCUGGUGUACUCGAGUGGCGAACGGGUGAGUAACACGUGGGUAAUCUGCCCUGCACUCUGGGAUAAGCCUGGGAAACUGGGUCUACUACUGGAUCUGACCUUUCUCCUUAUGGGGUUUGGUGGAAAGUUUUUCGGUGUAGGAUGGGCCCGCGGCCUAUCAGCUUGUUGGUGGGGUGAUGGCCUACCAAGGCGACGCCGGGUAGCCGGCCUGAGAGGGUGAUCGGCCACAUUGGGACUGAGAUACGGCCCAGACUCCUACGGGAGGCAGCAGUGGGGAAUAUUGCACAAUGGGCGGAAGCCUGAUGCAGCGACGCCGCGUGAGGGAUGACGGCCUUCGGGUUGUAAACCUCUUUCAGCAGGGACGAAGCGUAAGUGACGGUACCUGCAGAAGAAGCACCGGCUAACUAUGUG
Molecule: ribosomal RNA, 467 nt
Filed under: uncultured bacterium
Lineage: Bacteria
Description: partial 16S ribosomal RNA
Rfam family: Bacterial small subunit ribosomal RNA
Source: RNAcentral